Molecule: non-coding RNA, 45 nt
Filed under: Schistosoma margrebowiei
Lineage: Eukaryota; Metazoa; Platyhelminthes; Trematoda; Strigeidida; Schistosomatidae
Source: RNAcentral
AUUCAGUUGAUGAGUUCCGAAUAGAACGAAACGCAUGUUCUGGAU